Molecule: ribosomal RNA, 501 nt
Filed under: uncultured bacterium
Lineage: Bacteria
Description: partial 16S ribosomal RNA
Rfam family: Bacterial small subunit ribosomal RNA
Source: RNAcentral
AUUGAACGCUGGCGGCAUGCCUUACACAUGCAAGUCGAACGGCAGCACGGGUGCUUGCACCUGGUGGCGAGUGGCGAACGGGUGAGUAAUACAUCGGAACGUACCUUAUCGUGGGGGAUAACGCAGCGAAAGCUGUGCUAAUACCGCAUACGCCCUGAGGGGGAAAGCGGGGGAUCGCAAGACCUCGCGCGAUUAGAGCGGCCGAUGCCUGAUUAGCUAGUUGGUAGGGUAAAAGCCCACCAAGGCGACGAUCAGUAGCUGGUCUGAGAGGACGAUCAGCCACACUGGGACUGAGACACGGCCCAGACUCCUACGGGAGGCAGCAGUGGGUAAUUUUGGACAAUGGGGGCAACCCUGAUCCAGCAAUGCCGCGUGAGUGAAGAGGGCCUUCGGGUUGUAAAGCUCUUUUGUCAGGGAAGAAACACCGGCUCUAACGCAGUCCGGGAAUGACGGUACCUGAAGAAUAAGCACCGGCUAACUACGUGCCAGCCGCCGCAGUAA